Triticum dicoccoides is the source of this 3121-nucleotide RNA transcript. RefSeq lists it as uncharacterized. Lineage: Eukaryota; Viridiplantae; Streptophyta; Magnoliopsida; Poales; Poaceae. The transcript is spliced from 6 exons. The record is from RefSeq and is a predicted model, not a curated record.
CCAAUCCCAUCCACCCAUGCCUCGCCGCCGCUCCAUGCCCCUCCGCCUUGCGCCGCCCACGGCCACCCCAGUCCCCCACCGCGGCGCCAUCCUCGUCCCCCACCGCGGCGCCACUCCUCUACACCGACGCGCCGCCGCCCCUCUCCCCAGAUGCGCCGCCGCGCCGCCCCUCUCCCCCGACGCGUCGCCCCUCUCCCCGAGCUCGCCGGCCAUCCCCUCCCCCCCACUCUUUCCGAAAAGAGGCAGCCUCCCGAGCUCUGCCAUGCGCGGCUGCGCCUGCUCCACUGUCCAGGUGACACCGGUCGACGCCCCAACCGCGUGCCGCGGUAUACUGCUGCUCCUUCCCAUGAGCCACCUCGCCUUCUCCUCCGUGGAUAAGUUCGCCGACGAGCGAGGACUCCGGAUCCCGGCCGACGCCAACCUGCUGGCGUGCCACCCCCGCCCCAGCCAUCUCCUCCACCACGGUGCACCGCUGCCUAUUCUGGCCAUGGGCAAGCACAAGCGCCACCCUCAGUUUGGCAACAAAAUUCACAUCAGUUUAGGGGCGCCCGCAUCACGGUCUCACCGUGCUACCGCAAUCUCUCCUUGAUACGCCACCGGACGAGCCACUUUGGCAAGCUGUCACUUCUUGCUCCUGUGCCUGGAUCCCAUGUGAGCGCCCCUGGAAUCAGUGCAGAUGGGAGGAGAACCGUCCAAAGUGCGAGUUUUGUGACGUCGACGUGCGAGCCAGUCUAACCAGCGCAUCUGAACCAACAUAUGCAGAGUGAUUCGCCCAAAGCAGCCAGGGGUAUACACGGUUGUUGGGAGCCGUCCAAGUCGAGCUCUGACCGCAGUCCAAGUGGGACUGCGACCACCAUCUAAUCAAAAUUGCUACUGUGUUUCUAAUUGAACCGCCGCCCCGAGAAUCCCCGCUGAGCUCGUCCGCAGCCCCGGCCCUCUUCGGGGCCACCGAGGUCUACAUCGCAGGGCCGCCGUGUUCUCUUUACCGCCAUCCAGGUCCGACGAGCCGCCGCACGCAGGAUCCCAUGCGUGCUAGCCUUGGUGCUGGCCCUGCGCGAUGGCAUGGCAUCAUUCACUGCCGCCACCAUGGGUCGUUCAAUGACACAGCGUCGAGUCGUUCGACGCCGCAGCUCAGGAGUUUGCCUCCUUUCCCAACCUCCACUAUGCUAGUCUCUCCUGUUCUCCUCUCUUCACUAACCUCUCUCGCUUCUUUCGCUUGAAUUCCUGCUAAUGUUGGCUGUAGCUUGAAUUCCACCAGGGGUGCUGGCAGCCGUCCAAGUGGAGCGUUGACGCCAGUACAAGUAGAAUCGUGGGUUGCGGCCACCAUCUUCACUAAGCACCGCACAUCCGUCCAAGUCGAGCACACACACAGGGAGAACACACCAGCCCCUUUGCUUUGCACAUUGCUUGGUUAUGCAUGACUGCUGAUGGAUGCAACAAGCGUUUAUAUUAGUUUGAUCUUGUGCAAGACUCAAUUUUGUCUCGGUUUUCGUGGAUGCUAGCUGGCAAUACGUCCAACAUUCUUGCGGCGAUAGCAGCCACCACUAAGGGCAUUUGCGUCCAGCACUCGAGCUACAUGCUCGACGGUUGCACACUGCCGCCAUGGACAUGCACAAAGAUAUUAACGACGCGUUUGGUUUGCGCUCAGGUAACGUAUUCGACUUGGGUAUCGGGAAGCUCCGUCUUCAGACUAUUUUUACCGAAUACGAGAUAUGUUUGUUUCGAGCGUUCGGCUCCCGGUUUUCUAAUCACCUUCGGUCCCGCCGUUUUCCGCUUCGCGAGCGCAUGUAUCGGAGGACGCCGCUACCUAAUACAUCGUGGGCCUACCAAACGCUGGAUUCUGUUUCAGAAAGCGCUGUAAUCGGAAGUCGUGACAUUUCCGUCGAACCAAACGCGUCGUAAGUAGAUGUUUGUUAGUUCAGUUUUUUAUCGAUUUACCUUGUUUAAGUAGUAGUGCAGCAAUAAAAGGUGUCGUUGUACUGAAGUUUUAGUUGCUAUAUGAGGAACCCAUAGGCCAUUUAUUUUGGUUUUCAGUUCAGCUUGUCUGUUGUUUUCGGUCCGGAUGCUUUAUUGCGCAUAAUCUUGAGGAAAUCCCCAAAAGUCAUAUGUCUCAUGUGAAUCUUGUUCAGUUCAUUAGUUCAUUGGAAAAAUAUAUCAUCUACAAGAAGAAUUGCAAUCUGGUAAUGUGAAGUAUGUUGUAGUCUAUACCUGUAGAGUGCAUUUUUGUAGUGCUGGUAUUCGUGGUCACUCUUUUGUGUUAGAAACAAUGGAUAUAUAUUUAUAUUUUGUAGUGUCAGUACUUGAGAACAAAAGGUUCAGUUUUCAAACUUUAAACAGUUCAUCGCAAGCUUUCGGUGUAGCAAGACGCGCGCCAAUGUGUGUGUGCACUUGAUGAAACUCUAUUGCAGUAUAUGAAGUUCAUACGAUUUUCAUGCAUCAACAAUCUGAUAGAGAGCACCAUUCUUUUCUGAAUUUUGUAUUUAAGAAAUAUCACCCUUUCUAUAUUUUUGAACACUAGCUAGUGCUUUCUUUUCUUGUUAUAGUCAAAAAGUAGUACAGGUAUCUAGUUAUGGUGAUAGUGAUACUAACCAGACCAAGCUACUUCAAUUGUUUUACCAAAUUCUAGAAAUUCUCCAUAUACGGCAAGAGCCAACCGGACAUCUUUGUCUAGCCUGACUUGGGACGGCUUCUUUGCAACUGCAGGUUAGAAAAUUCAACAUGUGAUUGGAAUUCAGUGUGAAAAACUGCAGGUGCAAGAUGGCGGCUGCCGACGUCGCUAAAUCCCUCUACAAACUAGUGGUUGGCUGUUCCCAGCGGUAAAUGUGAUCGGAUUCAGCAGCUAGCUCUUCCUCGAGCAACCAUUUGGAGAACUUCAUUGUCUUGUGGUGGUGAUUGAUUUUAGGAUCAGUAAAUUUGACGUUGGUAGCUAGAUGAAACCUGCAAGUUCAAUAUUGGUAUUAGAUUCAGUUCUUGUUGUACAAAUGUCCCAAUGUUCACCUUUAUUUGGGUAAAAGUUUAUUUUAGUUCAGCAACAGAAACCAUGCAGGUUCAAUGAUGAUGAUACCAUAAGUUCGGACAAGAAAAUUUAUGUAUAUGAUGAGAUGAUUGCUACUUCUUCAAA